AGAGUUUGAUCAUGGCUCAGGAUGAACGCUGGCGGCGUGCUUAACACAUGCAAGUCGAACGAUGAAAGCGGGAGCUUGCUCCUGCUGGAUUAGUGGCGAACGGGUGAGUAACACGUGAGUAACCUGCCCUUGACUCUGGGAUAAGCGUUGGAAACGACGUCUAAUACCGGAUACGACCUUCGGAGGCAUCUCCUGGGGGUGGAAAGAAUUUCGGUCAAGGAUGGACUCGCGGCCUAUCAGCUAGUUGGUGAGGUAAUGGGCUCACCAAGGCGACGACGGGUAGCCGGCCUGAGAGGGUGACCGGCCACACUGGGACUGAGACACGGCCCAGACUCCUACGGGAGGCAGCAGUGGGGAAUAUUGCACAAUGGGCGCAAGCCUGAUGCAGCAACGCCGCGUGAGGGACGACGGCCUUCGGGUUGUAAACCUCUUUUAGUAGGGAAGAAGCGAAAGUGACGGUACCUGCAGAAAAAGCACCGGCUAACUACGUG
This 491-nucleotide ribosomal RNA is filed under the name uncultured bacterium. RNAcentral's name for it is "bacterial SSU rRNA". It matches the Rfam family "Bacterial small subunit ribosomal RNA", at positions 8 to 507 of the family's 1533-position model. The record is from RNAcentral.